Molecule: long non-coding RNA, 426 nt
Filed under: Brassica napus (rape)
Lineage: Eukaryota; Viridiplantae; Streptophyta; Magnoliopsida; Brassicales; Brassicaceae
Description: long non-coding RNA (BNAP_LNC004261)
Source: RNAcentral
AGAUGAUGACGGAUAAAAUGAUUAACACCGAAGAUAAUGACGGCCGAUAUGAUCGACGCCGAAGAUAAUGGCGGCCGAGAUGAUCGACGCCGGAGAUGAGGCAAGCUGUCGUCGUCGAUUCAUUAUUUCAAUUUUCAGAAAAAAAUAUAAUUAGAGAAAGAAAUGGGUUAAAUGGUAAAUUCUCAUAUUAAAUGAAUUUGUUUUUGUGAUUUUGGGCCUUGAAUUCUAGAAUGGAAAGAAAAAAGUUGGUAUAUGGCUAUCUAAGGUCAUUUCUCUAAAUAUUAUUUAUGAUGUUAUUAUACAAAAUAAGUUAAUUCUAUUAAACUAUUUAAUAGAUUUUAUAUAUUCUAAAUGCAAAUACUACACCAAAAUCUUCAUAUGGAAACAUUCAGUAAAGAGCAUUUGGAGAGCAUUUACGUCAUCUAA